Molecule: long non-coding RNA, 797 nt
Filed under: Equus asinus (donkey)
Lineage: Eukaryota; Metazoa; Chordata; Mammalia; Perissodactyla; Equidae
Description: lncRNA (ENSEASG00005036251.1)
Source: RNAcentral
AAGAGAGUGUCUUCCCUUCACAAAUUGCUGCUACUUCAAGCUCACUAGUGCAUCCCAAGAGAUCAAAAUUUGCAUCGAAUUCACAAAGAAAAGAGCAAUGUGGCUGUCGCCAAUAAACUAGACUCCAUUUUACUCUCCUUCUGCGGGACGUCUGGUUCGAGCAGCACUUGGGUUUACAGUCUGUGCGCAGAAGCGUGAGAGAUGACAUGGGACUGAGAUUGCAAGCAAGGAAUUGAUCGACAGCCUCCUGGCCUCCUCCUUACAGCUCCUCAGAAGCAUCAGGCUCCCUCCCUGCACAGGACAUCCCAACGGGAGGUUUCCUCUGCCUGAGAAUCCUCCUGCCCUCCUCUCUUUGCAGAUUGAAUUAAAGAUCUUAGUGUGGCCCUAAAUCCAAUGACAAGUGUCCAGAUCAGAGACAGAAGAGAAGAGACACAGACACAGAGGAGAAGCCACGUAAAGAUGGAGGCAGGGACGGGAGCGACGCGGCCACCAGCCCAGGGAUGACUGGAGCCCUCAGCAGCUGGAAGAGGCAGGAAGGACCCUCCCCUGGAGCCUCUGGAGGGAGUGCAGCUCUGCUGUCACCUUGGUUCCAGACUUCUGGUCUCCUGAACUGAAAGGAAAUAAAUCUGUUGUGUUAAACCACCUGGUUUGUGGUAAUUUGUUACAGCAGCAAUAAGAAAAUGAUAGACUACCCAAAAGGACUUAAUUUAUUACGACGUAGUACAUUUCUUUCUCAUUCUUCUUCUUCCCGGUAUGUUAUAGCCAAGAGGAAGCAAUGAUCAUUAAAGCAUAUUUUC